CCUACGGGAGGCUGCAGUGGGGAAUAUUGGGCAAUGGGCGCAAGCCUGACCCAGCAACGCCGCGUGAAGGAAGAAGGCUUUCGGGUUGUAAACUUCUUUUCUCAGGGACGAAGAAAGUGACGGUACCUGAUGAAUAAGCCACGGCUAACUACGUGCCAGCAGCCGCGGUAAUACGUAGGUGGCAAGCGUUAUCCGGAUUUAUUGGGUUUACAGGGUGUGUAGGCGGUAGGGCAAGUCAGAUGUGAAAACUCAGGGCUCAACCCUGAGCCUGCAUUUGAUACUGUGUUUCUUGAGUGCUGGAGAGGCAAUCGGAAUGCCGGGUGUAGCGGUGAAAUGCGUAGAUAUAAGGAGGAACACCAGUGGCGAAGGCGGAUUGCUGGACAGUAACUGACGCUGAGGCGCGAAAGCGUGGGGAGCAAACAGGAUUAGAUACCCGUGUAGUC
RNAcentral lists this ribosomal RNA (443 nucleotides) under uncultured bacterium. RNAcentral describes it as "partial 16S ribosomal RNA". It matches the Rfam family "Bacterial small subunit ribosomal RNA", at positions 338 to 795 of the family's 1533-position model. The record is from RNAcentral.